This 402-nucleotide ribosomal RNA is filed under the name Sphaerospira sp. 'starena'. RNAcentral's name for it is "partial 16S ribosomal RNA". It matches the Rfam family "Archaeal large subunit ribosomal RNA", at positions 1900 to 2656 of the family's 2987-position model. The record is from RNAcentral. Lineage: Eukaryota; Metazoa; Mollusca; Gastropoda; Stylommatophora; Camaenidae.
CAAAAACAUAGCUGUGUGUUAGUACUCUCAGUAUUUUCUGCUCAAUGAGAUAUUAAAUAGCCGCAGUACCCUGACUGUGCAAAGGUAGCGUAAUCAGUUGUCUUCUAAUUAAAGUCUCGAAUGAAUGAAUAUAUGGGGACCCACUUUACCUAUGACAGAAAGGGAAUUUGCUUAGUGGGUGCAAACACCCACAUUAUUAAAUAGACGAGAAGACCCUAGAAAUUUUUAAGUAUUUUUUGUUGGGGCAACAUGGUAACAUGUAAUUUACUAUAUGUGUAUGAAAUAUAUUUGAAAACCUAAAUUACUCUAGGGAUAACAGCAUAAUUUAGAAAUGUUUGUGACCUCGAUGUUGGAUUAGGAAAUUAUAACUUAAAAGGUGAUUAAUUAGGCUCUGUUCGAGCA